AUUGAACGCUGGCGGCAUGCCUUACACAUGCAAGCCGAACGGCAGCACGGGAGCAAUCCUGGUGGCGAGUGGCGAACGGGUGAGUAAUAUAUCGGAACGUGCCCAGUCGUGGGGGAUAACGUAGCGAAAGCUACGCUAAUACCGCAUACGAUCUAUGGAUGAAAGCGGGGGAUCGCAAGACCUCGCGCGAUUGGAGCGGCCGAUAUCAGAUUAGGUAGUUGGUGAGGUAAAGGCUCACCAAGCCGACGAUCUGUAGCUGGUCUGAGAGGACGACCAGCCACACUGGGACUGAGACACGGCCCAGACUCCUACGGGAGGCAGCAGUGGGGAAUUUUGGACAAUGGGCGCAAGCCUGAUCCAGCAAUGCCGCGUGCAGGAUGAAGGCC
Molecule: ribosomal RNA, 386 nt
Filed under: uncultured bacterium
Lineage: Bacteria
Description: bacterial SSU rRNA
Rfam family: Bacterial small subunit ribosomal RNA
Source: RNAcentral